Molecule: ribosomal RNA, 500 nt
Filed under: uncultured Acidobacteriota bacterium
Lineage: Bacteria; Pseudomonadati; Acidobacteriota
Description: bacterial SSU rRNA
Rfam family: Bacterial small subunit ribosomal RNA
Source: RNAcentral
UUGAUCCUGGCUCAGAAUCAACGCUGGCGGCGUGCCUAACACAUGCAAGUCGAACGAGAAAGUGGAGCAAUCCAUGAGUAAAGUGGCGACCGGGUGAGUUACACGUGACCAAUCUACCCUUGAGUGGGGGAUAACCUCGGGAAACCGGGUCUAAUACCGCAUAACAUCUCUGGAUCGGAAGAACUGGAGAUCAAAGGAGUAAUUCGCUUGAGGAGGAGGUCGCGGCUGAUUAGCUAGUUGGCGGGGUAAUGGCCCACCAAGGCAAAGAUCGGUAGCCGGCCUGAGAGGGCGCACGGCCAUACUGGAACUGAAACACGGUCCAGACUCCUACGGGAGGCAGCAGUGGGGAUUUUUGCGCAAUGGGGGAAACCCUGACGCAGCAACGCCGCGUGGAGGAUGUAGUCCCUUGGGACGUAAACUCCUUUCGACCCGGACGAUAAUGACGGUACUGGUGGAAGAAGCCCCGGCUAACUUCGUGCCAGCAGCCGCGGUAAUAAGGU